This 1554-nucleotide ribosomal RNA is filed under the name Salmonella enterica subsp. enterica. RNAcentral's name for it is "bacterial SSU rRNA". It matches the Rfam family "Bacterial small subunit ribosomal RNA". RNAcentral also lists the same sequence under 1 other name. Lineage: Bacteria; Pseudomonadati; Pseudomonadota; Gammaproteobacteria; Enterobacterales; Enterobacteriaceae. The record is from RNAcentral.
UUAAAUUGAAGAGUUUGAUCAUGGCUCAGAUUGAACGCUGGCGGCAGGCCUAACACAUGCAAGUCGAACGGUAACAGGAAGCAGCUUGCUGCUUUGCUGACGAGUGGCGGACGGGUGAGUAAUGUCUGGGAAACUGCCUGAUGGAGGGGGAUAACUACUGGAAACGGUGGCUAAUACCGCAUAACGUCGCAAGACCAAAGAGGGGGACCUUCGGGCCUCUUGCCAUCAGAUGUGCCCAGAUGGGAUUAGCUUGUUGGUGAGGUAACGGCUCACCAAGGCGACGAUCCCUAGCUGGUCUGAGAGGAUGACCAGCCACACUGGAACUGAGACACGGUCCAGACUCCUACGGGAGGCAGCAGUGGGGAAUAUUGCACAAUGGGCGCAAGCCUGAUGCAGCCAUGCCGCGUGUAUGAAGAAGGCCUUCGGGUUGUAAAGUACUUUCAGCGGGGAGGAAGGUGUUGUGGUUAAUAACCGCAGCAAUUGACGUUACCCGCAGAAGAAGCACCGGCUAACUCCGUGCCAGCAGCCGCGGUAAUACGGAGGGUGCAAGCGUUAAUCGGAAUUACUGGGCGUAAAGCGCACGCAGGCGGUCUGUCAAGUCGGAUGUGAAAUCCCCGGGCUCAACCUGGGAACUGCAUUCGAAACUGGCAGGCUUGAGUCUUGUAGAGGGGGGUAGAAUUCCAGGUGUAGCGGUGAAAUGCGUAGAGAUCUGGAGGAAUACCGGUGGCGAAGGCGGCCCCCUGGACAAAGACUGACGCUCAGGUGCGAAAGCGUGGGGAGCAAACAGGAUUAGAUACCCUGGUAGUCCACGCCGUAAACGAUGUCUACUUGGAGGUUGUGCCCUUGAGGCGUGGCUUCCGGAGCUAACGCGUUAAGUAGACCGCCUGGGGAGUACGGCCGCAAGGUUAAAACUCAAAUGAAUUGACGGGGGCCCGCACAAGCGGUGGAGCAUGUGGUUUAAUUCGAUGCAACGCGAAGAACCUUACCUGGUCUUGACAUCCACAGAACUUUCCAGAGAUGGAUUGGUGCCUUCGGGAACUGUGAGACAGGUGCUGCAUGGCUGUCGUCAGCUCGUGUUGUGAAAUGUUGGGUUAAGUCCCGCAACGAGCGCAACCCUUAUCCUUUGUUGCCAGCGGUUAGGCCGGGAACUCAAAGGAGACUGCCAGUGAUAAACUGGAGGAAGGUGGGGAUGACGUCAAGUCAUCAUGGCCCUUACGACCAGGGCUACACACGUGCUACAAUGGCGCAUACAAAGAGAAGCGACCUCGCGAGAGCAAGCGGACCUCAUAAAGUGCGUCGUAGUCCGGAUUGGAGUCUGCAACUCGACUCCAUGAAGUCGGAAUCGCUAGUAAUCGUGGAUCAGAAUGCCACGGUGAAUACGUUCCCGGGCCUUGUACACACCGCCCGUCACACCAUGGGAGUGGGUUGCAAAAGAAGUAGGUAGCUUAACCUUCGGGAGGGCGCUUACCACUUUGUGAUUCAUGACUGGGGUGAAGUCGUAACAAGGUAACCGUAGGGGAACCUGCGGUUGGAUCACCUCCUUACCUUAAAGAA